CCUGCCGGCGACCGGCGCACGGGUGAGUAACACGUAUCCAACCUGCCGAUGACUCGGGGAUAGCCUUUCGAAAGAAAGAUUAAUACCCGAUGGCAUAGUUCUUCCGCAUGGUAGAACUAUUAAAGAAUUUCGGUCAUCGAUGGGGAUGCGUUCCAUUAGCUUGUUGGCGGGGUAACGGCCCACCAAGGCAUCGAUGGAUAGGGGUUCUGAGAGGAAGGUCCCCCACAUUGGAACUGAGACACGGUCCAAACUCCUACGGAAGGCAGCAG
This 269-nucleotide ribosomal RNA is filed under the name uncultured bacterium. Its description in RNAcentral is "partial 16S ribosomal RNA". It matches the Rfam family "Bacterial small subunit ribosomal RNA", at positions 84 to 354 of the family's 1533-position model. The record is from RNAcentral.